RNAcentral lists this ribosomal RNA (751 nucleotides) under Lactiplantibacillus pentosus. Its description in RNAcentral is "bacterial SSU rRNA". It matches the Rfam family "Bacterial small subunit ribosomal RNA", at positions 116 to 849 of the family's 1533-position model. Lineage: Bacteria; Bacillati; Bacillota; Bacilli; Lactobacillales; Lactobacillaceae. The record is from RNAcentral.
CGUGGGAAUACCUGCCCAGUAUGCGGGGGAUAACUAUCUGAGACUCAGAUGCUAAUACCGCAUAACAACUUCGCCCGCAUGGUCCGAGUUUGAAAGAUGGCUUCGGCUAUCACUUCUGGAUGGUCCCGCGGCGUAUUAGCUAGAUGGUGAGGUAACGGCUCACCAUGGCAAUGAUACGUAGCCGACCUGAGAGGGUAAUCGGCCACAUUGGGACUGAGACACGGCUCAAACUCCUACGGGAGGCAGCAGUAGGGAAUCUUCCACAAUGGACGAAAGUCUGAUGGAGCAACGCCGCGUGAGUGAAGAAGGGUUUCGGCUCGUAAAACUCUGUUGUUAAAGAAGAACAUAUCUGAGAGUAACUGUUCAGGUAUUGACGGUAUUUAACCAGAAAGCCACGGCUAAGUACGUGUCAGCAGCCGCGGUAAUACGUAGGUGGCAAGCGUUGUCCGGAUUUAUUGGGCGUAAAGCGAGCGCAGGCGGUUUUUUAAGUCUGAUGUGAAAGCCUUCGGCUCAACCGAAGAAGUGCAUCGGAAACUGGGAAACUUGAGUGCAGAAGAGGACAGUGGAACUCCAUGUGUAGCGGUGAAAUGCGUAGAUAUAUGGAAGAACACCAGUGGCGAAGGCGGCUGUCUGGUCUGUAACUGACGCUGAGGCUCGAAAGUAUGGGUAGCAAACAGGAUUAGAUACCCUGGUAGUCCAUACCGUAAACGAUGAAUGCUAAGUGUUGGAGGGUUCCGCCCUUCAGUGCUGC